This 72-nucleotide transfer RNA is filed under the name Schistosoma japonicum. Its description in RNAcentral is "tRNA-Leu". Lineage: Eukaryota; Metazoa; Platyhelminthes; Trematoda; Strigeidida; Schistosomatidae. The record is from RNAcentral.
GACUAACUGGUUUAUUGGUAAAGCGUUUUCCUCAGAACCAAAAGGUCCUGAGUUCGAUCUCUAAUUGGGUCG